RNAcentral lists this ribosomal RNA (253 nucleotides) under uncultured bacterium. RNAcentral's name for it is "partial 16S ribosomal RNA". It matches the Rfam family "Bacterial small subunit ribosomal RNA", at positions 524 to 776 of the family's 1533-position model. The record is from RNAcentral.
UACAGAGGGUGCGAGCGUUAAUCGGAAUUACUGGGCGUAAAGCGUGCGUAGACGGUUAUUUAAGUCGGGUGUGAAAUCCCCAGGCUUAACCUGGGAACUGCAUUCGAGACUGCAUUGCUAGAGUAUGGGAGAGGGAAGUGGAAUUUCCGGUGUAGCGGUGAAAUGCGUAGAUAUCGGAAGGAACAUCAGUGGCGAAAGCGACUUCCUGGACCAAUACUGACGCUCAUGUGCGAAAGCGUGGGGAGCAAACAGG